This 5092-nucleotide long non-coding RNA is filed under the name Homo sapiens (human). RNAcentral describes it as "HSALNT0334283". Lineage: Eukaryota; Metazoa; Chordata; Mammalia; Primates; Hominidae. The record is from RNAcentral.
GUUGCUCGGCGGGCGCCAUCUUUCUCGCGGCGCGGGCGGCGCCCUCCGAGGACAUCUCGAUGACCAGGGCGCCGCGAGGCCCGGGGCUAGCGGGAGCCGAGAGCAGGGUGCUGAAUUCUGGAGAUGGGACUGGGGUCGCGCGGCCUUCUCCUUCCCCACGCCCCCAGACCCAAAAGACGAGGCCGCCGGCUCGGAGCGGGAAGGGCUGGGGCCAGCUUCUUCCUCCUAACCACUUGUUUGUGAUGGAAGAAGGGGGCUGGGGGUCGAGCCUCGCGGCUGAUGGGUUCCCUCCCUGACCCCGCACCCCCACUCCUCCCAGUCGAAAUUGGAGGUGAGGCGCUCCUGCCAUUUUCUCUCCUGCGGUCUGAGAGUGGACGUCUUUGUCUUCUCUGGCCCGGCGUGGGGGCAGGGCAUUGAGCCUUUUCCUUAAUUCUUCAGUUAUUGAAAGUAGAGUCCAACCAGGUUACAAAACUAAAAAAAAGAGUCCAGGACAUUGUCUGUCUGCCUUCCGGUAGCAUGGUUCUCUGUGGGUACCCUACGCUUCGUUUCUUAGUUUUACUCUAAAACAACCCUGAGGAGACAUUUACUAGUUGUCAGAUUACGGGAAGGUGAUGGGUUCCAGUUUUUUGAAACUUUUUUUGUUGGCUUUCAUAUUACUUCAAAUGGCAGUGAAUUAAAACAGUUUCUUAGAACUCUAAUCUGAAAAGUUAAAUACGCUUUAAAACAGUCUGAAACUCUUCUAAAAAGCAAAACUGCAUUAUUAAAAGCAUCCAUGUAAGUAUCUGUUGGUAGUAUCUAUUAGAGAUGGGGGAGGGGUUUAACUUUUACAUUAUUAUUGAAAAGAGGAGGGGAAAGGUCUAUAAAGCUCUGAUCUCUCUAGAAGUCCACAUACAUGGAAAGUAAAUAGUUAAUUUCUAGUGUAGAAAAAUAACACCGUGGUGCCAGUAGGUGUGUCCUUGUGUUUAUAAAUAUACAUAGUGGAUGUUUUAGACCAUUUAAUGAGACCUAUUAUAUAUUGAAUACCUGCUGUAUGCCAGGAACUGUGCCUGAUGCUUUGUAUAAUUUCUAUUAUAUCAGCCCAGAAAUAGUGAUUUUAUGAUCUGUCUACCGGGGAAUGAACUAACGUUCAUAGAAGUAUAGUAAUUGUUCGAGGUCUUGCAGUUUUAAGUAGUAAAGUUGCCAUUGGAUCACAAAAGCUGUAUUCUUCCCCCUACACCUAUGGUUUCCAAAUGUGAGCAUCAGAAUUAAUUUGGGAGAUGUUUUUAAAUAGAGAUUUGUAACAUCACCUCUUCCACCAUCAUUUGCUAGGGCCAACUGGGUCUUUUAAUAAUGUGUCAGGCACUCCAACUUCUUGAUGUUCAAUAUUGACAUUCUGGCCCACCCUGCACCCGCUAUAUCCAAAGAUCUAGUAUUCCAAAGCUCUCCAGGUGAUUCCAGUGACACAGACACACGUUUGGACUGUCUUGUACUAUGCUAUGCACUGUUCUGCUCUUUUUUGAAUUGGAACAUGAGAAUUGAGGUCCAUGUAAUUUUGAGUUUCAGUAGUUUUUUGCUCACAUUAGUCUCAUUUUUGUUUUUCCUCUUGUAGCUGCCAUUUAUCAAAUCGAAAUUAUUUCCUCAGAGAAAAAGGUUUAGGUAUCCUAAGACUUUAAAAUCUCAGUACGUUUUUUUUUAAAGUAUGUUGUCUCAUUCUAUUGAGAAGUUAUACAACAUACAGGCUUCUAGGUCUAGCCAGGCCAUCUAGUUUAGUCAAGACAGCUGUGUAACAAACGUAGCCUUGAGGCCUGGCACGGUGGCUCAUGCCUGUAAUCCCAGCACUUUUGAGGCUGAGGCGGGCGGAUUACCUGAAGUCAGGAGUUAGAGACCAGCCUGUCCAACGUGGUGAAACCCCGUCUGUACUAAAAAUACAAAAAAGCUAGCCGAGUGUGGUGGCAGGUGCCUGUAAUCCCAGCUACUUGGGAGGCUGAGGCGAGAGAAUCACUUGAACUGGGGAGGCAGAGGUUGCAGUGGCCCGAGACCCCACCAUUGCACUCCAGUCCGGGAAACAAGAACGAAACUCCCAUCUCAAAAAAAAAAAAAAGAAUUGAAUCCAGGAUUGAUCCAGAAAUUGAGAAUAGGGUAGAAAAGACCCUGAUAUAAAGACCUGAAGAUAAAUCCUUAAAAGAAAAGGUUGUUUCCUGAAUUUUGAAUUGUGGACAUAUCUUCUGGGUUUUGGGAAGUAGGAUAGUCAAGUUAUGUGGAACCUAAUAGCAGAAUAUGGAUAAAAACACAGGUGUGAGCCACCAUGCCUGGCCGGGAGCAGCAUUCUUAAGGAAUUCAAGACACAGGAAGAACACUUGCCUUUAGUGGGAGCAAGACAACGCAGUGUGGCAGAAGACAAAGAAUGGGGGCACAAGUGCAAGGUGAAUUGGAGGUAGAAUAUAGGACUUAACUUUCUGACGGCUUCUGUUUUCUCAGUGAAGUCUGAGGCAAGGCCGGUGACUUAAACAAAGAAGGGGUAGUGGAUAAUUUCAGGAAAGAUGGACACUUCACCUUGAGCAACAGGACAAGGAACUGAGUAACUGGGAAACAAGGUAGUUUCAAUGCUGGGCAUUGUUGAAUCCCUUGCCGUGGCUUGGGGCCAUGAAUUUAAGGUGAAACCAGUCAGCUGAGUUAGUUGUGUGAUUUUUUUUUUUCUCCUAGCAACAUUCAGCUGUUAUGAGGGCAGCGAAGAGCAGGCAGGUGAUCAGUUCACCCAAAAUUCGUGUUUUGCCCUGCAGGUUUGACAGAGGAGAAGCAGUGCCAGAGGCUUGAGAGUAGUUGCAAGGGGGUGAUUUUGAUGAUGAACCUUGAAAUGUUAGCUGAGUAGGAAAGCAAGAGAAGAAUCAGAGUGGGGGCCAUGAAAAUCAUUACUGGCUUAAAGUGAGUUAAUGGGCGCAGAGUUUCAGUUUGGGAAGAUGAAAAAUUUCUAAAGCUGGAUAGGGCUCUUGGUUUCACAGCAAUGUGAAUGUAUGUAAUGCCACUCAACCAAACACUUUUAAAUAUUUAAAAUUCAGUAACUCUAUAGAGAAAUAAAGGGUUUUCCCAAUCCUGGAAAAAAAUGGUUAAAAUUGUAAAUCUUACAUAUAUUUUACCAUAGUAAAAAAUGAAUUAGGCUGGGCCCAUGGCUCACACCUACAAUCCCAGCACUUUGGGAGGCUGAGGCAGGCAAAUCGUUUGAGGCCAGGAGUUCAAAACCAGCCUGGCCAACAUGGCAAAACUCAUCUCUACUAAAAAUACAAAGAAAAUAGCCAGGCAUGGUGGCACACACCUGUAAUCCCAGCUACUCAGGAGGCUGAGGCAUGAGAAUUGCUUGAACCUGGAAGGCAGACAUUGGAGUGAGCUGAGAUCUUCCCACUGCACUCCAGCCUGGGUGACAUAGCUAGACUGUCUCAAAAAAAAAAAAAAAAAGAAUGAACACUUAAAUAUUUGUGGCAGAUAGAGGUGUUAUUUGCAUAUGGAAGAAAAUUGCUUUAGAAAUGAAAUUUCAGAUUACUGAAACUAAAGAGAAAGUAUCUCUUCUUAUCAUGGUACCAAGCUUGAGGGUGCAUAAGUCACCUAUAGACGUAGAGAUUGUAGUAUAGGACCUGGGAAUAUUACAUUAUUUGCUCCCAUGUUUACUGUUUUGUUCUAAGCCUUUAGCACAGCAUUCAAAACAAGUUGAGCACUCAGUAAACAUUUGCUGACUCAGUACUUGGAGAACCUAGGUAGAGUAGAAUGAUGGGAAUCAAAAGGAAAACAGUAUUCUGUUAGAGAUCAGCAAUAUCUUACACUAGUAGAGGGAUCUGUGAGAAAAAGAAUCAAGACCAUUGAAUGUGUGGCGGCUUAUAGCAUUUGACAUUCUGAUCUGUGCACGUGAUGAGAAAAAAAGUCUGAUUACAGAACAGGGAAGGAGAGAAAUAAGCAUUGAGUUUCAUUUUUUGUUUGUUUUUGAGACAGGUUCUCACUGUUACCCAGCCUGGAGUGCAGUGGUACAAUUGUAGCUCACUGCAGCCUGGACCUCCUGGGAUCAAGGGAUUCCCCCAACCUCAGCCUCCCAAGUAGCUGGGACUAUAGAAAUGCAACACCAUGCCCAGAUAAUUUAAUUUUUUUUUUUUUUUUUUUUUUUUUGUAGAGACAGGGGUUUCUCUUUGUCACCCAGGCUGGCCUCAAACUCCUGGGCUCAAGCAGUCUUCCCACCUUUCCCUCCCAAAGUGCUGGGAUUACAGGCGUGAGCCACUGCAUCCUGCCGAGAAAAUCAUUUUUUAUUUAAAUAAUGUCAAAUGGAAGUAUGUAGCACCCCCCCCCCACCUUCUUUUCCCCUUUCUUUCCUCUUUGAGUCUGCUGUCAUUCCCUUUUUCAUGAGUUUUCUCUGCUCCCCAAAUAGGCUAAACAAUAACCGUAAAGUGAGAUUAGAGAAAAUAAGAAUGGAGUAGAUGAUGGAAUUCAAAAUAGCUGUCUACAUUCUUCACUGAGAAAGAUAGCUUUGAGUUAAAGGUGAGAGGAGCAAAUCUGGGGAAAAACGGGUGAAACGGCAUGAUUUAAGUAGCAUACCAGAUGCGUUUCUGCAUGGCAUGGCUCUUGCUUGAUGAAUAAUGUUCUGUAUAGUAGAAGAGGAAAAUACAGUGAGUGAAGGAGCUGGCAGAAGGUGGGCUGGGGGAGUUGGGGAAGAGUGAAAUGAGUAUGGAGAGGUGAGAGAGCUGACUGCAAAGGCAUGUGGGGUGUGGAUUUUAAAAGGAAAGCCCUGAGGUGGAAAUCACUAACAUGGUGCCUGGCUACAAGCAGAGGGAGCUCAGGACUUGACUGUGCUGGGGGUGGCCUGCCCUUUUGUAGUGCAGUUGAGGAGAGCUCAGGGGCUGUCAGAAUGCUGUGUGGGAAGGUGGAGGAUGAAAGAGGACCUGGGAGCAGCAACUUUGUUCUGGUUUGUUGUUUUCUCUUCCCUACCUCGUAUGUACUCCCACUCAGGAAAAGAUCCUGAGACCUCUCUGUACCAGAUCCUCUUAUACCCAGGUUCUCCUUAAUCCCAAUCAACUUUAAUCUAUAAAGUUACGAUUUGUUUACUUAUAAAUUUAUUUUUAAUAAAGUUGUGAAACCG